This 495-nucleotide ribosomal RNA is filed under the name uncultured bacterium. RNAcentral describes it as "partial 16S ribosomal RNA". It matches the Rfam family "Bacterial small subunit ribosomal RNA", at positions 28 to 507 of the family's 1533-position model. The record is from RNAcentral.
GACGAACGCUGGCGGCGUGCCUAAUACAUGCAAGUAGAACGCUGAAGGAGGAGCUUGCUUCUCUGGAUGAGUUGCGAACGGGUGAGUAACGCGUAGGUAACCUGCCUGGUAGCGGGGGAUAACUAUUGGAAACGAUAGCUAAUACCGCAUAAUAGUAGAUGUUGCAUGACAUUUGCUUAAAAGGUGCAAUUGCAUCACUACCAGAUGGACCUGCGUUGUAUUAGCUAGUUGGUGGGGUAACGGCUCACCAAGGCGACGAUACAUAGCCGACCUGGGAGGGUGAUCGGCCACACUGGGACUGAGACACGGCCCAGACUCCUACGGGAGGCAGCAGUAGGGAAUCUUCGGCAAUGGACGGAAGUCUGACCGAGCAACGCCGCGUGAGUGAAGAAGGUUUUCGGAUCGUAAAGCUCUGUUGUAAGAGAAGAACGAGUGUGAGAGUGGAAAGUUCACACUGUGACGGUAGCUUACCAGAAAGGGACGGCUAACUACGUG